RNAcentral lists this ribosomal RNA (468 nucleotides) under uncultured bacterium. RNAcentral's name for it is "partial 16S ribosomal RNA". It matches the Rfam family "Bacterial small subunit ribosomal RNA", at positions 28 to 507 of the family's 1533-position model. The record is from RNAcentral.
GACGAACGCUGGCGGCGUGCUUAACACAUGCAAGUCGAACGGAAAGGCCCUGCUUUUUUGGGGUGCUCGAGUGGCGAACGGGUGAUUAACACGUGAGUAACCUGCCCUUGACUUUGGGAUAACUUCAGGAAACUGGGUCUAAUACCGGAUAUGAGCUCCUGCUGCAUGGUGGGGGUUGGAAAGUUUCGGCGGUUGGGGAUGGACUCGCGGCUUAUCAGCUUGUUGGUGGGGUAGUGGCUUACCAAGGCCUUGACGGGUAGCCGGCCUGAGAGGGUGAACGGCCACAUUGGGACUGAGAUACGGCCCAGACUCCUACGGGAGGCAGCAGGGGGGAAUAUUGCACAAUGGGCGGAAGCCUGAGGCAGAAACGCCGCGUGCGGGAUGACGGCCUUCGGGUUGUAAACAGCUUUCGCCUGUGACGAAGCGUGAGUGACGGUAAUGGGUAAAGAAGCACCGGCUAACUACGUG